UGGGGUGUGGCUCAAGUGGUAGAGCACCUGCCUAGCCAGAGGCGGCCCUGGGUUCAAAUCUCAGUACCGCAA
This 72-nucleotide transfer RNA is filed under the name Dipodomys ordii (Ord's kangaroo rat). It matches the Rfam family "tRNA". Rfam says of the family: Transfer RNA (tRNA) molecules are approximately 80 nucleotides in length. Their secondary structure includes four short double-helical elements and three loops (D, anti-codon, and T loops). Further hydrogen bonds mediate the characteristic L-shaped molecular structure. tRNAs have two regions of fundamental functional importance: the anti-codon, which is responsible for specific mRNA codon recognition, and the 3' end, to which the tRNAs corresponding amino acid is attached (by aminoacyl-tRNA synthetases). tRNAs cope with the degeneracy of the genetic code in two manners: having more than one tRNA (with a specific anti-codon) for a particular amino acid; and 'wobble' base-pairing, i.e. permitting non-standard base-pairing at the 3rd anti-codon position. Lineage: Eukaryota; Metazoa; Chordata; Mammalia; Rodentia; Heteromyidae. The record is from Rfam by way of RNAcentral.